RNAcentral lists this ribosomal RNA (445 nucleotides) under uncultured bacterium. Its description in RNAcentral is "SSU rRNA". It matches the Rfam family "Bacterial small subunit ribosomal RNA", at positions 26 to 518 of the family's 1533-position model. The record is from RNAcentral.
AGAACGAACGCUGGCGGCAGGCCUCAAACAUGCAAGUCUAGGGGUGUAGCAAUACACACCGGCGGACGGGUGCGUAACGCGUGGGAACAUACCUUUCGGUACGGAACAACCCAGGGAAACUUGGGCUAAUACCGUAUACGUCCUAACGGAGAAAGAUUUAUCGCCGAAGGAUUGGCCCGCGUUCGAUUAGCUAGUUGGUGGGGUAACGCUCACCAAGGCGACGAUCGAUAGCUGUUCUGAGAGGAAGAUCAGCCACACUGGGACUGAGACACGGCCCAGACUCCUACGGGAGGCAGCAGUUGGGAAUCUUGGACAAUGGGGGAAACCCUGAUCCAGCCAUGCCGCGUGAGUGAUGAAGGCCUUCGGGUUGUAAAACUCUUUCGACGGGGACGAUAAUGACGGUACCCGUAGAAGAAGCUCCGGCUAACUUCGCGCCAGCAGCCGC